This 253-nucleotide ribosomal RNA is filed under the name uncultured bacterium. RNAcentral describes it as "partial 16S ribosomal RNA". It matches the Rfam family "Bacterial small subunit ribosomal RNA", at positions 524 to 776 of the family's 1533-position model. The record is from RNAcentral.
UACGGAGGGUGCAAGCGUUAUCCGGAUUCACUGGGUUUAAAGGGUGCGUAGGUGGGCAGUUAAGUCCGUGUUGAAAUCUCCGGGCUCAACCCGGAAACUGCCAUUGAUACUAUCUGUCUUGAAUAUCGUGGAGGUAAGCGGAAUAUGUCAUGUAGCGGUGAAAUGCUUAGAUAUGACAUAGAACACCAAUUGCGAAGGCAGCUUACUACCCGAAUAUUGACACUGAGGCACGAAAGCGUGGGGAUCAAACAGG